Molecule: long non-coding RNA, 231 nt
Filed under: Manihot esculenta (cassava)
Lineage: Eukaryota; Viridiplantae; Streptophyta; Magnoliopsida; Malpighiales; Euphorbiaceae
Description: long non-coding RNA (MESC_LNC010880)
Source: RNAcentral
UAAUUGGUUUAAUCAUAAGGAGAGAUAAUGGUGGUGAGAAGCGUCUUCCAUCUCCAUAACUAAUCUAUUGAAUCAACCCAAAAGAACAAAGUGUCUGUGAUCAAUCCCAACAACUAAAGUGGAUCCAAUACUUCAACUAGAGCUUUCUCAUUAUUGAUUACUUUUUAUUUAAUUAUUUGCUUUCCAUUAUUUUUCUCAUUAUUAGUUUACUGCAAUCAAUCUCAAACUCCC